UUCGGAAAAAAUAAGUGCUCAAGUGAAGUUCUGUCGUGAAACUGAAAUUAAUUGAAGAAAAGUUGUUUCUAAUAUAAAGUGCUAAAUUUUCACAUUAGUUGUUACACACACAUACCAUGUAUAUAUAUUGUUCAACGGCAAUGCAAAUGUGUGCAGAAACAGUUGGAAAGGCAAACCUGAGGAGCUAUAACAUGGCACGAAGGCUGAAAUAAUUGCUAGUACGGGUUUCUCAAGCAUUUCUGCUCUGAACAAAGAAAAUGAAAUCAGCUCCUCGUCGUCAUCUCAGCGUGGGCACGUCAGGCAUUUUCACAUAACGGCGAAAUGGGGCCACACAAAACCAGACUUGGCGGUGCGAAAACCCAACCAAGUUUUUCAUCUUUGGCUAGAAAGUUGCACUGUAGGCAGGCUGAGGCAGAUGCCAGGCGUUUGAAUUGCUAGCCGGAGUGUGCGGAGUGUGUGUGUUGUCCUGGACUUGAGGAGUUUGGAUAGGAAGCCAGGUAUAAAACGCAGCGAAGACAGCUUGUUCUCUUGUUAUACUUGGGCGUUGAAAGUUGAUACGCGAUCGAUAGAUGUUAUAACUCGAAUGCAAUGCGUGCGAAAGGGCAUUACAACAGCUGAAAUAUGCCGUUGGUGUGGCCCCGUUAGCCGUGUGGCGAGAGUAUAUCUGAACUCAGCGACCUGUGUGUGUCGCUACCUACACACAGGGGUACUAAACAUCGUUUUUAUCAGAUUGAUUGCGUGGAUUGAAUUUAUAGGAACCUGUAUCGACUUCUCUGCUCUACUAAGACUUGUUCAAAACAAAGGCGCACAAUUACCUAUACGUUUAUAUACGGCCUUCUAUUAUUUACCUAACAUCAUCGAACCGUUAUCAAUACCGAUCCAAACAGAUAUAAACACUACUGACAUCGAUCGAUAAAGAUAUAUAUCUCGUAUCUGGAGUAGCAACUGAACGAGCCAAUCGUUAGUUCGUUUUAUGCAGCACAAUUUACAAACUAUAUUCUUGUUAUUUACUUAUUUUUUUGUUGUAAACAUAAACAUUUGCUAGUACACGACAUGUGCGACUUAAGUUCUUAAAUACCUGAAACUGUUAAACAAAAAGAAAAAAAACAAAGAAAAUAUUCUGUUUUUGUACACAACCCAAGAUUUAAGAAAAUUUGUCCAUUUAUUGUUGUAAAUAUACUUGUCCAUACCAGUUAUAGAUAAUGAAUGAAGAAUAUAAGAAAAAAAGAAUGAGCUCAUCAAUACAGAAAAGAAGCUACAAACAAAAAAGAAUAAAAGAAAUCUAAGAAGACCAAUAAAUUUCGAAACAAUUGUUCGCCAUAUUUUUAUUUUAAGCUAAAAUUCUACACAAAUUUCAGUCUUAUCAUCGUACAAAUGGAGGAAGGGCCACUCUAAAUAUCCCAUACAGGUUUAUUUACACGAAAAUUAUGCGUAUAAAAGUCUAUGAAAUUUCUAAGGUUUGAAGUUAAGGUAAACAUCGACAACAUAUAUAUAUAUAUAUAUAUAUAAAAGAGACAUUCCCUAUAAAUAUGUUAAAAUUUUUCUCUAUACGCAUUGCUUGCGAUCAUAUAAGGGAAAUAUAUGCGAAUUUGAAAAUUAUAAAUUAAGCAGGGCUUUGGUAAAUGCUAAAAUAUGCGGUAAACUGCAAAAACGGUUAAAUAUUCAAAUUUGAGACACUUCAUCAAUGGCCGUAUUAAUACAAUUUUACAGACCCAACAUUACACAAUAUUCUACAAUUUAUUCCACUUUUCUGAUUUACUUAAGAAUUUAAGUUAAGUGUCUUCAAUUUGUCUUUAAUUUUUUUUUUUUAGUUGUCUUUACUAUCAAACUAUCUUAACUAAAUAUCAAACACAGCCUGAACACAUAAAAUUUACUUCAAAUACCAAGCGGAAACUAAACAACAAGGAUUAAACACUUCCAAUCCCCAAAAGCAAUUUUUCUUCCACAACUUAUCAACAUCGGAAGUUAACUUCAAUGACAAAAGUAUCCUUUAAUGGUCAGAAUUGUCCAGCAUAAAAUGGAACAUCCCAUCCGAUUAUCUGUUUACAUUUCAACCUGGAAAUUUCCAUCAAAGAAUUAGUACAUUUUCAAACUCGUCUCAAAUUGCACCAUCUGAAACAAUGGAAACUUCGUCAGCCCAGGCAUAAAUCUACCUCAAUGCACCACAUUCAAUUCAAGCAAAUACUUCUCAAAUAUUAAUGUGCCAACCAAGUAUACAUCCACAAAAUUCGUCUGCUUCUCAACUUCUCCAUCUACAAGCAUCUCAAUAUCGUCUACUUCCCCAACUGCUCCAUCUACAAGCAACUCAAUCUUUUACUUCCUCAACUGCUCCUCCAUCUACAAGCAACUCAACACAGCUGACACCUUUAAAAUUUAUCAGACACUAUUUUAAGUUCGAUUUUCAACAAUUUCAAAAUAUUUUUUCAACGUUCUUUGUCGUUCGACAAAUUUUUACUAUUUAUAUAUAUCUGAGCCGUGAUUACAACCAAAUAUUAAAUUAAAUUUGUCAAACACAUUACGAAACGUUCUACUGACACCACGUUGUCUUAAACAUCCUUAUAAAACUGCGUCCAAUACAAAUUAUAAAUUAUUAAGCAUACGAAAAAGUGAAAACAGAAAUUUCCCUGCGAUUACAAAAAGAGCGUAAAAACACACGAAAACUGCGAAGAAUUUAAGAAAGUGGAGUGUAUGGUUAAGAGUGUGAAAACAUAGAAAUUUCCCUAAUAGGUAGGUCAUACACAAACCCCGAUUACAACCCAAAUUUAAAACAUACAAGAGCGUAAAAACACACGAAAACUGCGAUGAAUUUAAGAAAGUGGAAUGUUUAGUUAAGAGUGUGAAAACAUAGAAAUUUCCCUAAUAGGUAGGACAUACACAAACUGCGAUGAAUUUGAGAGAAUGGAGUAUUCGGUUAAGAGUGUGAGGACAUAGAAAUUUCCUUUUUAGGUAGGACAUAAACAAACCCCGAUUACAACCCAAAUUUAAAACAUACAAGAGCGUAAAAACACACGAAAACUGCGAUGAAUUUAUGAAAGUGGAGUGUUUGGUUAAGAGUGUGAAGACAUAGAAAUUUCCCUAAUAGGUAGGACAUACACAAACUGCGAAGAAUUUGAAGAAAGUGGAGUGUUUGGUUAAGAGUGUGAAAACAUAGAAAUUUCCCUAAUAGGUAGGUCAUACACAAACCCCGAUUACAACCCAAAUUUAAAACAUACAAGAGCGUUAAAACGUACACGAAAACUGCGAUGAAUUUGAGAGAAUGGAGUGUUUGGUUAAGAGUGUGAAGACAGAAAUUUCCCUAAUAGGUAGGUCAUACACAAACCCCGAUUACAACCCAAAUUUAAAACAUACAAGAGCGUUAAUUUAAGAGAAUGGAGUGUUUGGUUAAGAGUGUGAAGACAUAGAAAUUUCCCUAAUAGGUAGGUCAUACACAAACCCCGAUUACAACCCAAAUUUAAAACCUACAAGAGCGUAAAAACACACGAAAACUGCUAUGAAUUUGAAGAAAGUGGAGUGUUUGGUUAAGAGUGUGAAAACAUAUAAAUUUCCCUAAUAGGUAGGACAUACACAAACUGCGAUGAAUUUGAGAGAAUGGAGUAUUCGGUUAAGAGUGUGAGGACAUAGAAAUUUCCUUUUUAGGUAGGACAUACACAAACUGCGAUGAAUUUGAGAGAAUGGAGUGUUUGGUUAAGAGUGUGAAGACAUAGAAAUUUCCCUAAUAGGUAGGACAUACACAAACUGCGAUGAAUUUAAGAG
RNAcentral lists this small RNA (3753 nucleotides) under Drosophila virilis. RNAcentral describes it as "GJ26899". The stretch from base 716 to 799 matches the Rfam family "Heat shock gene hsromega conserved region 2". The record is from RNAcentral. Lineage: Eukaryota; Metazoa; Arthropoda; Insecta; Diptera; Drosophilidae.